RNAcentral lists this long non-coding RNA (757 nucleotides) under Olea europaea subsp. europaea. Lineage: Eukaryota; Viridiplantae; Streptophyta; Magnoliopsida; Lamiales; Oleaceae. The record is from RNAcentral.
CUUUUAAGCUUUGGUCAGCAUCUUUCUAUCUCCAUUUUUUUAACAGUAGUUAACCAAUUCGAGUUAGAACCAGAGAAGUGGGCUGUUGUUAGAGAUAUUUACGACCUUUCCAUUGAGCAGAGGUCAUAAAACUGAGUCAUCUCAAAUAGGAACUUUUCUGUUAGCCAUCAAAUAAUGGCCUCCAAAGGUAAAGUUCCUUCCAUAGAUAUAUUGGUGCCAUCACAUGCUUAAGUGUUAACGCAUCUACAUUAUUUGUAGAUCAACAUGAUAAGAAAGAGUAUGUCAAGCCAAACAUGUCUUUCAUGAAGCGCCUUGCAAGGGAAGAAAAAUUAACCUCUCAGUACCAAUACUGUGGCCUACAAGGUUAUAGUGAUUAGUUGACCCGCAUCUACCAUCUGAAGCCAAAGAGAUCGCCACUGCCAAAGCCAAGAAGAAGGAAAAGGGAAAAAAUGAGAAGACUUAGAAAGAGAAAAUUAUGAAGAGGUGGAUUACUAUCACGAAAAAUACUGAUCCACCCUUCCUCGAAAGAGAUAACUCACUAUCACGGAGUCUAAGAAAAAGCCAUUGACGGUGAACCAAAUUCGGCCAUAAAAAUUGUCGAACCAGAUGAGGUUGAGGACCAAGAAGGGGGCCUAACAAAGAGAUAGAAAGGGAAAGAGCCUUUUGUAACAAAUUUUAAUCGAGUGGACUUAUAUGUGUGAAUUAUUGUAAAAUAAAUUAAAAGUUAUCAAAUUCGAUUAAACUCGUUUAAAAGUGA